Cyanistes caeruleus (blue tit) is the source of this 1078-nucleotide non-coding RNA. The record is from RefSeq and is a predicted model, not a curated record. Lineage: Eukaryota; Metazoa; Chordata; Aves; Passeriformes; Paridae.
UAUGAAAAGCUGUUACAAUCAGCAUAAUGACUCAUUUAAUAGCUCAAACAUAUCUGCUCAGAAAUCACUACGACUCAUGAAGUAUAAGGUUCUGUUCCAUUAGUUGUAGGAAUAGUGACUUGCAGGAAAAAAAUUCAUGUCAAAUAAAUGCUAUUAGCUAAGAGUAUCCAUGCUAUAAAUGAAGUUUUAAAUUUGGAAUUUGGAGACAAGUAAUGUCCUGUGCUCUAGGUUACAAACAGGCUUUGUUACACAAGCUUUACACUGCAUUUUUAAACUAAGUUUUAUGUGUUAAUAGCUAUAAAAUAUCCUCUGGUUAUCCAUAAGGUUAGUGAUUCAAGAGUAAAAAAGGUUUUUUUCAGAGUCAGUACUGAAACAGAGUGACACUGUUUUACUUGUAGGACACAAAACCCCAGGACUUGAUCAAGUUGGUUUCAUUUACAUGUAAUACAUCCUAGUUUAAUAUGUAUUUAAAUUUAAUAUGACAGAGAACCUGUCCAGAUUCUUCUGGAAUCUGAAGAGAAUUGAAAUGCAUUUGCUGCUUGUACUUGCUGGCUUGACAGCCAGCAUUUCAUUUCCUGGAAGAAUCUGCAAUCACGCUGUUCAAGGUCUGCUGAGAAUUGAGACUAAUUGUGGUGACAAGGCAUCAUCAGGUUUGGCACUUCCACGGCAACAAAGUUCUGCUCUUCUUUCCAGAGACCUUAAGACUUUAAAAUACCUUUUGGAAAAACCCACAGCUCUGCCUCAUGUUUGACUCCUCAAAGAAAGAAGUUUGGAAAGGAAGGAAAAUAAAAUUCACUCACGCCUUUACACAGCUAAUGUUGUUCAAAGAAAUUCAAAGGUGUACAGGUACAUGAGUGAGGAGAUACUGAAACACACUAAGAAACAAUUUAGGAGAUCCUAGGAACAUAUCCUGUUUUCCUUCCAAAUGGCAACAUCUUUCCAACAUUCAUACCAGGCACUGUCAAUGUACCUGAAGUUACCAGAAAUUUCUUGCAGAAUUCAGCUAGCAAGUAAUUGCAAAGGUCCUGGAAAAGGAUGAAGAGCAGAGGAGCACAAGCAGUACAAGUGCUUGUGUCAG